GGCGAACGCUGGCGGCGUGCUUAACACAUGCAAGUCGAACGGAAAGGCCCUGCUUUUGUGGGGUGCUCGAGUGGCGAACGGGUGAGUAACACGUGAGUAACCUGCCCUUGACUUUGGGAUAACUUCAGGAAACUGGGGCUAAUACCGGAUAGGAGCUCCUGCUGCAUGGUGGGGGUUGGAAAGUUUCGGCGGUUGGGGAUGGGCUCGCGGCUUAUCAGCUUGUUGGUGGGGUAGUGGCUUACCAAGGCUUUGACGGGUAGCCGGCCUGAGAGGGUGACCGGCCACAUUGGGACUGAGAUACGGCCCAGACUCCUACGGGAGGCAGCAGUGGGGAAUAUUGCACAAUGGGCGGAAGCCUGAUGCAGCAACGCCGCGUGCGGGAUGACGGCCUUCGGGUUGUAAACCGCUUUCGCCUGUGACGAAGCGUGAGUGACGGUAAUGGGUAAAGAAGCACCGGCUAACUACGUG
RNAcentral lists this ribosomal RNA (468 nucleotides) under uncultured bacterium. RNAcentral describes it as "partial 16S ribosomal RNA". It matches the Rfam family "Bacterial small subunit ribosomal RNA", at positions 28 to 507 of the family's 1533-position model. The record is from RNAcentral.